AGCUGGUUGAAUCCGGGUCA
This 20-nucleotide microRNA is filed under the name Tribolium castaneum (red flour beetle). Its description in RNAcentral is "tca-miR-133-5p". Its record names the gene tca-miR-133-5p. Lineage: Eukaryota; Metazoa; Arthropoda; Insecta; Coleoptera; Tenebrionidae. The record is from miRBase by way of RNAcentral.